RNAcentral lists this transfer RNA (73 nucleotides) under Canis lupus familiaris (dog). It matches the Rfam family "tRNA". Rfam says of the family: Transfer RNA (tRNA) molecules are approximately 80 nucleotides in length. Their secondary structure includes four short double-helical elements and three loops (D, anti-codon, and T loops). Lineage: Eukaryota; Metazoa; Chordata; Mammalia; Carnivora; Canidae. The record is from Rfam by way of RNAcentral. RNAcentral also lists the same sequence under 2 other names.
GCCUGGCUGGCUCAGUUGGAAAAGCAUGGGACUCUUGAUCUCGGGGUCAUGGGUGCAAGCCCCAUAUUGGGUG